RNAcentral lists this long non-coding RNA (1064 nucleotides) under Nicotiana tabacum (common tobacco). RNAcentral describes it as "long non-coding RNA (NTAB_LNC008850)". The record is from RNAcentral. Lineage: Eukaryota; Viridiplantae; Streptophyta; Magnoliopsida; Solanales; Solanaceae.
UGACAAGGUCAUAUGAUCUUUUACGUACAUGGCAUCUGUCUAGUAGCCUCUAAAAAUACAUAAUUUUCAUAAAGGUCGGGACAGAGUCCCGCCAUACCAAACAAUACACAUCUAACUCAUACUAACCAAGCAAGCAACUCCGAAGCAAAUGGAGCGCACCAACAUCUUCCUCUGAGUUGAUAGCCUACUUGGAAGGCUCUUGACCUGUCUAUCAGGACCUGUGGGCAUGAAACGCAGUAUCCCCAGGCAAAAAGGGACGUCAGUACGAAUAAUGUACUGAGUAUGUAAGGUAAAUAAAUAAGUAUAUAACAGACAUGGAGGAAAUAUAGAGUAUAUGACUCCACCUGUAAGUCUAGAUAACAUUGUAAAUCAUGAAAUAAUUUUAGUGCUAUGCAUAUGCAUAUGAAUGUCAUGUCGUGCAUAGAUACAUGUUUCAUAACAUCAUCAGCCUCUGACGGCGUCCCAUUAUAUCAUCUCGGCCACUAUGGGCAAAAUCAUCAACGUAUACCAGCUGAUCAAGUGGUGGUGCGUAUAUAACGUCAUAACCUUUCCCAUAUCUCAUAUACAUAUAUAUAUAUAUACAUACAUAUAUACGCAUAUAUAACGCCAUCUGGUCAUGGAUCAAUGUACAUGAAUGCAAUGCAUGAAAAGUACGUUAAUAAAAUCUUUCAGAAUGUCAUAAGACCAUUUUGCCUUUGAGUAAUAUCAUAAAGUAAAAUCUUUUCAACUUUCGUAUUUUUCUGAGUCCUAUGAACAGAUGAUAGAAUAUUAUGACACAGGGAAAUUCAAGAACAUAGAUAUCUCUAAUACUUUUAUGAAUAGAGUCAUUUAUGGAAUUUGUGUAUUUGCUCGUUUCGUUUGUGUCAUAUUGAUCAUGCCAAAAAGAAAGAAGGGAUGGCCUUAACAUACCUGGAGUAGGAAAAAUCCGUAUGAACUCUUUGCUGGAAUAGUAACGUUUCCACUCCUAUCUUCAUGAAUUGUUGAAGAUGUUUAAAAUGUCAUGUUUUGAAGGAAAUGUUGGAAGAUGAUAAGGAAUAUUUUGGUUGAGUUCUGAUGUCUCAUCC